CUACGGGCCGCAGCAGUGAGGAAUAUUGCACAAUGGGGGGAACCCUGAUGCAGCAACGCCGCGUGGAGGAUGACGCAUUUCGGUGUGUAAACUCCUUUUAUAUGUCAAGAAAAUGACGGUAGCAUAUGAAUAAGCACCGGCUAACUCCGUGCCAGCAGCCGCGGUAAUACGGAGGGUGCAAGCGUUACUCGGAAUCACUGGGCGUAAAGGACGCGUAGGCGGGUUAUCAAGUCAGGUGUGAAAUCCUACAGCUUAACUGUAGAACUGCACUUGAAACUGGUAACCUAGAGUAUGGGAGGGGCAGAUGGAAUUAGUGGUGUAGGGGUAAAAUCCGUAGAUAUCACUAGGAAUACCUAAAGCGAAGGCGAUCUGCUGGAACAUAACUGACGCUAAGGCGUGAAAGCGUGGGGAGCAAACAGGAUUAGAUACCCCAGUAGUC
This 439-nucleotide ribosomal RNA is filed under the name uncultured bacterium. RNAcentral's name for it is "partial 16S ribosomal RNA". It matches the Rfam family "Bacterial small subunit ribosomal RNA", at positions 339 to 795 of the family's 1533-position model. The record is from RNAcentral.